UGGGGAAUAUUGCACAAUGGGCGCAAGCCUGAUGCAGCCAUGCCGCGUGUAUGAAGAAGGCCUUCGGGUUGUAAAGUACUUUCAGUCGGGAGGAAGGUGGUAAGGUUAAUAACCUUAUCAAUUGACGUUACCGACAGAAGAAGCACCGGCUAACUCCGUGCCAGCAGCCGCGGUAAUACGGAGGGUGCAAGCGUUAAUCGGAAUUACUGGGCGUAAAGCGCACGCAGGCGGUUGAUUGAGUCAGAUGUGAAAUCCCCGGGCUUAACCCGGGAAUUGCAUCUGAUACUGGUCAGCUAGAUUCUUGUAGAGGGGGGUAGAAUUCCAUGUGUAGCGAUGAAAUGCGUAGAGAUGUGGAGGAAUACCGGUGGCGAAGGCGGCCCCCUGGACAAAGACUGACGCUCAGGUGCGAAAGCGUGGGGAGCAAACAGG
RNAcentral lists this ribosomal RNA (429 nucleotides) under Chloroflexota bacterium. RNAcentral describes it as "Chloroflexi bacterium partial 16S ribosomal RNA". It matches the Rfam family "Bacterial small subunit ribosomal RNA", at positions 355 to 776 of the family's 1533-position model. Lineage: Bacteria; Bacillati; Chloroflexota. The record is from RNAcentral.